UACGAAGGGGGCUAGCGUUGCUCGGAAUGACUGGGCGUAAAGGGCGCGUAGGCGGAUGGCACAGUCAGAUGUGAAAUUCCCGGGCUUAACCUGGGGGCUGCAUUUGAUACGUGUUGUCUUGAGUUCGGAAGAGGGUCGUGGAAUUCCCAGUGUAGAGGUGAAAUUCGUAGAUAUUGGGAAGAACACCGGUGGCGAAGGCGGCGACCUGGUCCGACACUGACGCUGAGGCGCGAAAGCGUGGGAGCAAACAGG
RNAcentral lists this ribosomal RNA (252 nucleotides) under uncultured bacterium. RNAcentral's name for it is "partial 16S ribosomal RNA". It matches the Rfam family "Bacterial small subunit ribosomal RNA", at positions 524 to 776 of the family's 1533-position model. The record is from RNAcentral.